GGGGAGAUAGGCCAUGUUGAUACCAUGGUAUUGUAGGUCUUAUUGGGUAGAUAGGCCAUGUUGAUAUCAUGGUAAUGUAGGUCUUAUUGGGGAGAUAGGCCAUGUUGAUACCAUGGUAUUGUAGGUCUUAUUGGGGAGAUAGGCCAUGUU
Molecule: long non-coding RNA, 150 nt
Organism: Oncorhynchus keta (chum salmon)
Lineage: Eukaryota; Metazoa; Chordata; Actinopteri; Salmoniformes; Salmonidae
Exons: 3
Source: RefSeq, a predicted model, not a curated record